UAAGUUUGCCUCUUGAAAUUACAGUGUUUUCCUAAUCAUGUUGUACACAUUAGUCCAAAGUAAAGAUAUUGAUCUUAUUGUAAGCAAUCAAUUCUUUUUUUGGACCAUUCUUGAACUGCUUUUAUUAUUAUAGGAUUAUAUAAGAAACUGCUGACUUGGGUGUCCUGCCAAGAAGAUUAUCAAUCUCCAGCACCUCCUUGUAUUUCCUUCUGCUUUCUAUGACAGUAUUACUUUUUUGAGAUUCCAGGGAUACAUGUGCAAGUUUGUUACCUGGUAUAUUGUGUGAUGCUGGGCUUAGGAUUCAAAUGAUUCCAUCACCCAGGUCAUCGUCCACUCAACCUGCCAGUGCAUCUAGAUGACUCAUACAUUUAUGCUCUUCUGCCCAUUUCAUCUGGAUUCCUGAAGUCCAUGAAAAUUUCAUCUUAGAGUCUACAUUUGGGCUUUUCCUUGACCAUAACCUCUUAUCUGGCUUGGUAACUACCUGUCAUAGAAGAUCUCUCAAAUGACCUCAUCUCCAGGUUUGCUGUGUCCUUUUGUAGCUCACCACAUGGUAUAAAAUUUUCUUCUCCUCCUAUACAUGAACAUUAUACUGUAGGGUUGUGACUGUGCCACUCUUAAGAUUUGUCCUGUGCCAGGAGCAUGACUUGGCAUGACUCAGAGAAUAGGCUAUUGCCAUGUUUGACACUGGGCCUCCCAGCAGAUAUAACAGGAUUCUGCAAGAUUGUAUUCUAAUUUCAACUCAUUUAAGACCUAAAUCCUUAAAUGGCAGCUCUGUGGCAAGUAGAGGAAAAAUGUAACUUCUUUUCUUGUGUCACUCAGGAAGGUACAUGUAUUUCUGGUUUGGAAAAAAAUGGAAUUUACAAGACUAUAAUGACAUACAUAAUCAUAGCAUGCCAACUUGUCUAAAGAGAAAUCAAAAGGCCUUCAUUGUUGCAUGAAGCAGAGAGAGAAAGUGUGAAGCGAUAUUACACUAUUUCCAUCUCAACUAGAAAAUAAGAUUGCAUUGAUUGUUGAGGUUACUCACUUCAGUAUUGUUAGUGAGUAGCUUUCCUCAAAGAUUAGCUCGAGUUAUGAAAACCAUUGCCUUUCUGAAGUGGUGAUGAUAAGAGAUGGUCAUGCUAAAUAGGAUGAGAGCUACUUACCUAGCUCUUUUAUAGCAUGUUCCAUAUUCCUUAUCACUUGCUUUAAUAACAUCUAAGGAACAAAAGAAAUGUUAUCCCCAUUGGAAAAACAGACUGUUAUAAAAUGUCCUUACAUUUGCAACUGAUGGAUUUUUAACCUAAGUUAAUAGUUUUAAGAGAAGUAGGAUGAAGAGGUUUUCAAGGGUUCGAAUUGAAUUUUGUGCUGCAGCACUUUUUGCUUCAGCUAAAGUAAUAGAGAAGAUAAGAGGUAUAACCUAGCCCAAUUUUGAGACAUCUGAAGGUGAGUCAUGAUUCUGAAAAGUGCAGGCAUGGUAUUAAUUCCUAAUAUAAUUUGGAUGUUUGUAAUAUGAAACGUUAUAAAACUUAAUUUGUCAAAGGGAGCUAAAAUUUAAGAUACAAACAUUAGCCCAACAGAAAAUUGUAGCCAUAAAACUAGUAAACUGAUUUUAGUCUAUGUUUUAUGAACAUAGGUAGGUACUUUCCCAUUCGGCUUUAUGAGAGCCCCCAGAUUUGUGAUUCCAGGAUGGCUUGCAAUCUUAAGGGAUUAGAAAUUUUGGCCAAGGUGAACGAAAGUAGAAAUUAGGGAUAAUAAGACAAUAUUUUAGGGACUCAAGUCUUUUCAUAUUUUCUCCUGUGUGUCUCCAAAUUCAAGUGCUAAAUAUCAGUGGUUAGAAAAGGUAAUAAAAGAUAAGAAAAUAGUUUUAAAGUUGCAGGAGGUGAAGAGAGGAAGAUACUACUUUUUGUGUUCUACCACAUAUUGAAUGUUCAGUUUCUCAAUGACAAAGUUUUGGGCACAUAAAAUAUAGCAUUGAGAUGUUUUAAAUCGUCUUGAAAAGUAAAUAUUGCAUUCCACAUAGCUGACAAACUUAUGGGCACAUAUCAGUUUUAAUCUGUCUCAAUCUAGAAAGUAAAAAUAAUAUCUAGAAUUUAGGCCUUAGAAUUAUCUUUCCUGCUUACUCACUAUGGAACUUUGGGCACAAUCAUUUAACCUCUCUUGGCCUCCUUUUUCUCAUCUGCAUAAUGACAAAAUCAAACUAGGUUUCCCUCUAUUUUAAUUAUUGUUUUCUUUACUUCUUUCUAUUUGCUGAAUCACUUGUUUUUAUUUCUUUACUGUUUAAUGUGUAGAAAACAAAGAUAGAGAGAGAUGAAAGAAGCUUUUGGGCAUUAUGAGGAAGCCCUGUUUUCUCCACCCUGCCUUCACUUCUCACCUUCCAGUACUUCCUAUUUUACACACCCAUAGCCUGACAGAUCUUAGAGCUUGCAUUGGGAGAAAGCUAACCACUGCACGUGGGUUUCGUGAUAGCCUCCACAAAGACAGAAGUGUGCCUUAUAGGAGCCUUGUAACUUGCUAAUAUGGCACAGUUCAUUUCAGAAGGAGGCAUUUGAGUAAUUCAAAUGUAACCUAGUUUAAGUUUUUAAAGAAAUUAAUUAGAAAACCAGGAGUCAAAGACAUCUGCAUAUAUGAACAGAAAAAAUGAUGGAUGAGGGCAACUGAGGGCUGAGUGAACUCUUUUCUUAGGAUUUAAGGUUUUCUUACCUGUUUAAUCUGUUUAGAACUUGUAAUCUGAUCAAUUACGGUCAUUAUG
Molecule: long non-coding RNA, 2728 nt
Organism: Gorilla gorilla gorilla (western lowland gorilla)
Lineage: Eukaryota; Metazoa; Chordata; Mammalia; Primates; Hominidae
Exons: 3
Source: RefSeq, a predicted model, not a curated record